Molecule: ribosomal RNA, 434 nt
Filed under: uncultured bacterium
Lineage: Bacteria
Description: bacterial SSU rRNA
Rfam family: Bacterial small subunit ribosomal RNA
Source: RNAcentral
AGCGAACGUUAGCGGCGGGCUUAACACAUGCAAGUCGAGCGAGAAAGGGGCUUCGGCCCUGAGUACAGCGGCGGACGGGUGAAUAACACGUAGGUAACCUUCCUUCCAGCGGGGGACAACGGUCCGAAAGGACCGCUAAUACCGCAUACGUUCCCUGGGACCCUGGUCCCGGGGAGGAAAGCUCCGCAAGGGGCACUGGAUGAGGGGCCUGCGUAGCAUCAGCUAGUUGGUGGGGUAAUGGCCUACCAAGGCUAAGACGCUUAGCUGGUCUGAGAGGAUGAUCAGCCACGCUGGGACUGAGACACGGCCCAGACUCCUACGGGAGGCAGCAGUGGGGAAUAUUGGACAAUGGGCGCAAGCCUGAUCCAGCCACGCCGCGUGAGUGAUGAAGGCCUCGGUCGUAAGACGUCUCGUGGGUAGGGACGGAAGUAGGC